This 223-nucleotide unclassified non-coding RNA is filed under the name plant metagenome. RNAcentral describes it as "partial contains small subunit ribosomal RNA, internal transcribed spacer 1, and 5.8S ribosomal RNA". The record is from RNAcentral.
UUUCCGUAGGUGAACCUGCGGAAGGAUCAUUAAAGAGAAUAUUCUCUUUGGGGUAGAUCUCCCACCCUUUGUUUUUAUUACCUUUGUUGCUUUGGCGGGCCCGGCUUCGGACCACCGGCUUCGAGUGGUCAGUGCUUGCCAGAGGACCCAAAACACUUAUUAUUAAUGUCGUCUGAGUACUAUAUAAUAGUUAAAACUUUCAACAACGGAUCUCUUGGUUCUG